Glossina brevipalpis is the source of this 67-nucleotide non-coding RNA. The record is from Rfam. Lineage: Eukaryota; Metazoa; Arthropoda; Insecta; Diptera; Glossinidae.
GAUUAAAUGGCUGAAUAUUAGGCAAUAAAUUGUAAAUUUAUUUAUAAGGUGAAUUCCUUUUUAAUCA